ACGUGAGUAACCUGCCCUUGACUCUGGGAUAAGCCUGGGAAACUGGGUCUAAUACUGGAUACUACACAUUCUCGCAUGGGGGUGUGUGGAAAGGGUUUUACUGGUUUUGGAUGGGCUCACGGCCUAUCAGCUUGUUGGUGGGGUAAUGGCCUACCAAGGCGACGACGGGUAGCCGGCCUGAGAGGGUGACCGGCCACACUGGGACUGAGACACGGCCCAGACUCCUACGGGAGGCAGCAGUGGGGAAUAUUGCACAAUGGGCGAAAGCCUGAUGCAGCGACGCCGCGUGAGGGAUGACGGCCUUCGGGUUGUAAACCUCUUUCAGCACGGAAGAAGCGAAAGUGACGGUACGUGCAGAAGAAGCGCCGGCUAACUACGUGCCAGCAGCCGCGGUAAUACGUAGGGCGCAAGCGUUGUCCGGAAUUAUUGGGCGUAAAGAGCUCGUAGGCGGUUUGUCGCGUCUGCUGUGAAAGCCCGGGGCUUAACCCCGUGGUGUGCAGUGGGUACGGGCAGACUAGAGUGCAGUAGGGGAGACUGGAAUUCCUGGUGUAGCGGUGAAAUGCGCAGAUAUCAGGAGGAACACCGAUGGCGAAGGCAGGUCUCUGGGCUGUUACUGACGCUGAGGAGCGAAAGCAUGGGGAGCGAACAGGAUUAGAUACCCUGGUAGUCCAUGCCGUAAACGUUGGGCACUAGGUGUGGGGGACAUUCCACGUUUUCCGCGCCGUAGCUAACGCAUUAAGUGCCCCGCCUGGGGAGUACGGCCGCAAGGCUAAAACUCAAAGGAAUUGACGGGGGCCCGCACAAGCGGCGGAGCAUGCGGAUUAAUUCGAUGCAACGCGAAGAACCUUACCAAGGCUUGACAUACACCAGACCGGUCCAGAGAUGGUCCUUCCCCUUUGGGGUUGGUGUACAGGUGGUGCAUGGUUGUCGUCAGCUCGUGUCGUGAGAUGUUGGGUUAAGUCCCGCAACGAGCGCAACCCUCGUUCUAUGUUGCCAGCACGUGAUGGUGGGGACUCAUAGGAGACUGCC
This 1029-nucleotide ribosomal RNA is filed under the name Kocuria sp. NCCP-766. RNAcentral describes it as "bacterial SSU rRNA". It matches the Rfam family "Bacterial small subunit ribosomal RNA", at positions 115 to 1153 of the family's 1533-position model. Lineage: Bacteria; Bacillati; Actinomycetota; Actinomycetes; Micrococcales; Micrococcaceae. The record is from RNAcentral.